UGCUGUUGAUGAUGUUACGAUUGCAAUGGGAAUCUCUCUGAAAAAGACUGAAAGAGACUUUGUAAUUACUGAACCAGUA
This is a small nucleolar RNA of Carcharodon carcharias (great white shark), 79 nucleotides long. RefSeq annotates it as small nucleolar RNA SNORD79. Lineage: Eukaryota; Metazoa; Chordata; Chondrichthyes; Lamniformes; Lamnidae. The record is from RefSeq and is a predicted model, not a curated record. The transcript has a single exon.